ACUUCCACUUCCACUUCAACUUCGUGUGUUGUGCUGUAUUAUACGUGGGCUUGGAGUAUUUGGAGAGAGUGUAGGUUAAAGUAGUUACAUUUUGACUUCAGUAAAACAUACUACAAACUUUAAGUUGGAAUGUUACUCUGAAGAUUUACUGGCAGUACCAGCAAGCGGAGAUUGCAGACACUGUUUCGUCUCAAUCAUCAGUGAUCAUAAGCUCAAAGCUGAACAGGUGACCAACUGGCCAAUCCUCUCAGUAAGCCUAAUCGCCUAAUCGGCCAGACGACUGGCCAUCUCAGGCAGUCAGGCUGGGAGUCCGGCCACAGGUCAUGGACCCCGUCUCCGCGCCAGUGGUGUACCGCUGUCGCGGCUGUCGGCAGUGCCUGUUCAGCUCGGAGCAGACGGGCGCGCUCCAGACGCCCUCGUGCUGCCGCGGCGCCCGGGAGCUGCGCGGUCUCUCAGAGGAGCAGCUGCCCGGAUGGGCCCUCCAGCAGGUUGAGGAGGCUGGAUGGACGCGCGGCCGCCUCCUCUGCCCCGCGCCCGGCUGCGGGGCGAAACUGGGAACCUUUGACUUUAUCAGUGGUGCGAGUUGUGACUGCAAGAACAUGGUGUUGCCGUCCGUCCGUUUGGUGAGGUCACGGUUGGACGAGCUGACCCCCGCCCCCGGCUCAGUGCGACCAGCCAUUGGCACAAGCGCCCCCGGAGACACGGCCGCUUCGUAACGGAUGUCCUUUCUAGCUGCUGUUUCAGCCGGGCAACUGUAACACAACAUGUGAUUCAGACUUCAGAGUGUUUCGCGACAACUGUUAUAUUAUUUGCUGUAUUGGCAUAAUAUUUACAUGAAAUACUC
Long non-coding RNA from Amphibalanus amphitrite, 844 nucleotides. RefSeq lists it as uncharacterized. The transcript has 2 exons. The record is from RefSeq and is a predicted model, not a curated record. NCBI's taxonomy places the organism in Eukaryota, Metazoa, Arthropoda, Thecostraca, Balanomorpha, Balanidae.